ACGUUACUGUACACUGUGGGACCGCCACACAGGUCUCAUUUGACCAGAAGUUCUGUUUGAUGCUGCCGGUGACAUCAUUGCGCUUUCUGAUGGCUGACGGGGCCUAGAAAGUAAUUAUAGGCCUUUGGGGACUCUCUCAGUCUAUGAUACUAAGAGCCAAUUUUCUUAGGCUAUGUGGUCUAGCUGCAGUGGAGGGCUCAGUCUUGGAAGCUUCAGUCUGUUGAUCUACGAUCUUAAAGGAAGGAGAGUUGGUUUCCGGAAAACCAAUACAGCACUGGGACUGAGCCCAGGCCCACUCCAGAGCAGAAAACAAUUACAUGCAGCAGCAGAACACUGAACAACGUUGGCCUUUCUCUCUCCACCUCUUCCCUCUUAGCAGGACAUCAUGAUACAUUGGUGCCUGCUACAGAGCAAACCUUGGCCCCUGAUGUCUGUCUCCUUCUUCCAGGUCUAUGGGCUGCUGGACAACCUGGUGAUAGACAUGAUGGUCCUAGCAGAUGAGCUCGGCUCCGAAAAGAAUGUUGAAGAGCCUUUACGUUUUUGUACCUGAUUCUUGGGCCCAAGCUUCCUCCUGGAAAGGUGGUUUGAAAAAAAGUCAAUAAAGAAUCUUUAGGUUUCAACCAUU
Molecule: long non-coding RNA, 625 nt
Filed under: Rattus norvegicus (Norway rat)
Lineage: Eukaryota; Metazoa; Chordata; Mammalia; Rodentia; Muridae
Description: long non-coding RNA NONRATT005897
Source: RNAcentral